Molecule: ribosomal RNA, 319 nt
Filed under: uncultured eukaryote
Lineage: Eukaryota
Description: partial 18S ribosomal RNA
Rfam family: Eukaryotic small subunit ribosomal RNA
Source: RNAcentral
CCCUUAGAUGUUCUGGGCAGCACGCGCGCUACAAUGGUCUUCGCAAACGGAUGCAUUCUCGAAGGAGAAUGCCAAUCUUGGAAUCUAUGCCUUGGUCGGGACAGUUGCUUGCAAUUUUUCGACUCGAACCAGGAAUUCCUUGUAAUCGUGAUUCAUCACAUCACGAUGAAUACGUCCCUGCCCUUUGUACACACCGCCCGGCGCUCCUACCGAUCGAAGAGUUAGGUGAAUUGUUUUGAUCGAUAAGAUUUGACUAUGGUCAACUCUCGUUGUGAAAUUCUGUGAAUCUGACUGUUUAGAGGAAGGAAAAGUCGUAACA